UCGAGGGGUAACAGGGGAAAGCUUGCUUUCCCGCUGACGACCGGCGAACGGGUGCGUAACACGUAUGCAACUUACCCUUUACAGGGGGAUAGCCCUUAGAAAUGAGGAUUAAUACCCCAUAACAUUAUGGAAUCGCAUGGUUCUAUAAUUAAAACUCUGGUGGUAAAGGAUGGGCAUGCGUCCCAUUAGCUUGUUGGUGAGGUAACGGCUCACCAAGGCAACGAUGGGUAGCGGGUCUGAGAGGAUGAUCCGCCACACUGGUACUGAGACACGGACCAGACUCCUACGGGAGGCAGCAGUGAGGAAUAUUGGACAAUGGGCGAAAGCCUGAUCCAGCCAUGCCGCGUGCAGGAUGAAUGCCCUAUGGGUUGUAAACUGCUUUUAUAAGGGAAGAAACCCCCGGACGUGUCCGGGGCUGACGGUACCUUAAGAAUAAGCACCGGCUAACUCCGUGCCAGCAGCCGCGGUAAUACGGAGGGUGCAAGCGUUAUCCGGAUUUAUUGGGUUUAAAGGGUCCGUAGGCGGGGUAUUAAGUCAGUGGUGAAAGCCUGCAGCUCAACUGUAGAAUUGCCAUUGAUACUGAUACUCUUGAAUAUAAUUGAAGUUAGCGGAAUGUGUCAUGUAGCGGUGAAAUGCUUAGAGAUGACACAGAACACCGAUUGCGAAGGCAGCUAACUAAGUUAUCAUUGACGCUGA
RNAcentral lists this ribosomal RNA (696 nucleotides) under uncultured bacterium. Its description in RNAcentral is "bacterial SSU rRNA". It matches the Rfam family "Bacterial small subunit ribosomal RNA", at positions 62 to 749 of the family's 1533-position model. The record is from RNAcentral.